AUACGGAGGAUCCGAGCGUUAUCCGGAUUUAUUGGGUUUAAAGGGAGCGUAGGUGGAUUGUUAAGUCAGUUGUGAAAGUUUGCGGCUCAACCGUAAAAUUGCAGUUGAAACUGGCAGUCUUGAGUACAGUAGAGGUGGGCGGAAUUCGUGGUGUAGCGGUGAAAUGCUUAGAUAUCACGAAGAACUCCGAUUGCGAAGGCAGCUCACUAGACUGUUACUGACACUGAUGCUCGAAAGUGUGGGUAUCAAACAGGAUUAGAUACCCUGGUAGUCCACACAGUAAACGAUGAAUACUCGCUGUUUGCGAUAUACAGCAAGCGGCCAAGCGAAAGCAUUAAGUAUUCCACCUGGGGAGUACGCCGGCAACGGUGAAACUCAAAUGAAUUGACGGGG
Molecule: ribosomal RNA, 393 nt
Filed under: uncultured bacterium
Lineage: Bacteria
Description: partial 16S ribosomal RNA
Rfam family: Bacterial small subunit ribosomal RNA
Source: RNAcentral